This 600-nucleotide ribosomal RNA is filed under the name Exiguobacterium sp. AJAR-PK. Its description in RNAcentral is "bacterial SSU rRNA". It matches the Rfam family "Bacterial small subunit ribosomal RNA", at positions 355 to 947 of the family's 1533-position model. The record is from RNAcentral. Lineage: Bacteria; Bacillati; Bacillota; Bacilli; Caryophanales.
UGGGGAAUUUUAAAUGGGACGAAAGUCUUGAUGGAGCAACGCCGCGUGAGCGAUGAAGGCUUUCGGGUCGUAAAGUUCUGUUGUAAGGGAAGAACAAGUGCCGCAGGAAAUGGCGGCACCUUGACGGUACCUUGCCAGAAAGCCACGGCUAACUACGUGCCAGCAGCCGCGGUAAUACGUAGGUGGCAAGCGUUGUCCGGAAUUAUUGGGCGUAAAGCGCGCGCAGGCGGCCUCUUAAGUCUGAUGUGAAAGCCCCCGGCUCAACCGGGGAGGGCCCUUGGAAACUGGGGGGCUUGAGUACAGGAGAAGAAAGUGGAAUUCCACGUGUAGCGGUGAAAUGCGUAGAGAUGUGGAGGAACACCAGUGGCGAAGGCGACUUUUUGGGCUAUAACUGACGCUGAGGCGCGAAAGCGUGGGGAGCAAACAGGAUUAGAUACCCUGGUAAUCCACGCCGUAAACGAUGAGUGCUAAGUGUUGGAGGGUUUCCGCCCUUCAGUGCUGAAACUAACGCAUUAAUCACUCCGCCUGGGGAGGACGGCCGCAAGGCUGAAACUCAAAAGAAUUGGAGGGGGCCCGCCAUAACGGUGGAACAUGCUGUUU